UUUCACCUUUCAGGGUUAGGCUGUUUGAUGGUGCCGGAUCAACUCUGAUCAAGACACUUCUCUCAGCAACUUGUUAAGAACCUUCUCACUAUUCUGGUGGUCCACAAGAUGACCUCCUUUUGUGCCUCUCCGAUUAGCUUUUCAUCUAGUUCCAGCUUAAUGGUGUUUUCGAAAAGAUGUGCCUCCACUAAUCCGUUUGUGGUUAUGACGAGGGGUAGGAUUGAUGUAGAGUAUCACAAUAUCCGGCCGGUUGUGCGCAAUGGGUCUGUCAGUGACGAGUGGAUGGUCCCAAUACAGUUUCAUUUCCUCAUUUUCCAGUAUUUCUUUAGGGCGAUGGCUUGGUGGUAUGCCUUUGCCAUGGCAUUGUGGCGGUCCGUGUAUUCCCUUGGAGCGAGGAUGGGGCAGGAUGACGUGACGUGUUGGAUUGUUUCAGUCGCCUGGGAGCAUUUGCGGCAUUUGUCAUUAGGUAAGUUCUUAUUCAUUAUCUGUUUUUGAUAUGCUUUUGUAGGUAUCACCUGAUCCUGAAUUGCCGCCAGUCUGCCCUCCGUUUCUGGAAACAGGGCGGUGGGGUAUCUUCCAUGGAGAGCUUUGCCGUGCCAUAUUUCGGAUAGUUCUUCGAUGCUUUUAGGUUCAAUGGGAUGGUUGCUUGAUGCCAGAUUUAAUGCUGUGAUGUUGUUGUCUUCAUCAGAUAUGGCUUUGAAAAAAGGUGAGUUUUUUGAUCUGAAGUAUUCUCUCAUCUCGCGUACUACUCGGUGGUGUGUGGAUUCAAUGUUUUGCAGUCCCCUUCCUCCAUCUUGUCUGGGCACGUAUAA
RNA transcript from Coccinella septempunctata (seven-spotted ladybird), 812 nucleotides. RefSeq lists it as uncharacterized. The record is from RefSeq and is a predicted model, not a curated record. Lineage: Eukaryota; Metazoa; Arthropoda; Insecta; Coleoptera; Coccinellidae. The transcript has 4 exons.